This 497-nucleotide ribosomal RNA is filed under the name uncultured bacterium. Its description in RNAcentral is "partial 16S ribosomal RNA". It matches the Rfam family "Bacterial small subunit ribosomal RNA", at positions 28 to 507 of the family's 1533-position model. The record is from RNAcentral.
GAUGAACGCUGGCGGCGUGCCUAAUACAUGCAAGUCGAGCGAACGGACGAGAAGCUUGCUGCUCUGAUGUUAGCGGCGGACGGGUGAGUAACACGUGGAUAACCUACCUAUAAGACUGGGAUAACUUCGGGAAACCGGAGCUAAUACCGGAUGAUAUUUUGAACCGCAUGGUUCAAAAGUGAAAGACGGUCUUGCUGUCACUUAUAGAUGGAUCCGCGCUGCAUUAGCUAGUUGGUAAGGUAACGGCUUACCAAGGCAACGAUGCCUAGCCGACCUGAGAGGGUGAUCGGCCACACUGGAACUGAGACACGGUCCAGACUCCUACGGGAGGCAGCAGUAGGGAAUCUUCCGCAAGGGGCGAAAGCCUGACGGAGCAACGCCGCGUGAGUGAUGAAGGUCUUCGGAUCGUAAAACGCUGUUAUUAGGGAAGAACAUAUGUGUAAGUAACUGUGCACAUCUUGACGGUACCUAAUCAGAAAGCCACGGCUAACUACGUG